UAAAAUCUAUCUUUGGAUUGACCGCUGAUUUUGGCAGCCAGCUGAAUUGCAAAACCUUUUACUCUUUAACAUAUCAUAACCUCAACUAAAAUACUUACUUGUCUGUCUUUUCGGCUAUAUUUAUGAAAUUAUAUCAAUAUCUAUCGUAACUGUGUUACUUCAACUUGCGCGUAACCAUGGCAAUUGGUUACGUGGUGUGUUACUCUGAUUAUGGCUCAUCAUGUUUGUUAUUAAUGCUGCUUAUUUCGUUUUUAAUGUUUUCAAAACUUUGUUUAACCCUUUCCCUAUCAUUUUAGCUAAGUUCUAUCUCUCCCAGCUCCCUCGUCGAGAUACUUCUUUUUGUCAACUGUGACGGGCCCGCUCAAGAUGGCCGCGGAGAGAGCAGUAAAGACAGAAGCUGAAGAGGACGAUAUAGAAGCAGGAGGGUCAUUACGUAUGGAAUAAGUGAAUCUGACGAUGAGAAAAAAAGCUGCUGAAGUUUUUGGUUUAAAGCUAAUGGUACUGGUAGUUUUGCUUUUGGUAUUUGAGACGGACUUUGGGAACUAAAACUUUCUUUGAAAACCCCUCUAAACAGGAGGUGAUCUACAAUAAUGAAAGAUGAUCUAUUUCUGGCCAGAAAUUUGCGGAGUUCAAUC
Long non-coding RNA from Bolinopsis microptera, 635 nucleotides. RefSeq lists it as uncharacterized. NCBI's taxonomy places the organism in Eukaryota, Metazoa, Ctenophora, Tentaculata, Lobata, Bolinopsidae. The transcript has 4 exons. The record is from RefSeq and is a predicted model, not a curated record.